UACGGGGGGAGCAAGCGUUGUUCGGAAUUACUGGGCGUAAAGCGCACGUAGGCGGCUCUUUAAGUCAGGGGUGAAAUCCUGGAGCUCAACUCCAGAACUGCCUUUGAUACUGGGGAUCUCGAGUCCGGGAGAGGUGAGUGGAACUCCGAGUGUAGAGGUGAAAUUCGUAGAUAUUCGGAAGAACACCAGUGGCGAAGGCGGCUCACUGGCCCGGUACUGACGCUGAGGUGCGAAAGCGUGGGGAGCAAACAGG
This 253-nucleotide ribosomal RNA is filed under the name uncultured bacterium. Its description in RNAcentral is "partial 16S ribosomal RNA". It matches the Rfam family "Bacterial small subunit ribosomal RNA", at positions 524 to 776 of the family's 1533-position model. The record is from RNAcentral.